GCCUAAUACAUGCAAGUCGAGCGGACAGAUGGGAGCUUGCUCCCUGAUGUUAGCGGCGGACGGGUGAGUAACACGUGGGUAACCUGCCUGUAAGACUGGGAUAACUCCGGGAAACCGGGGCUAAUACCGGAUGGUUGUUUGAACCGCAUGGUUCAAACAUAAAAGGUGGCUUCGGCUACCACUUACAGAUGGACCCGCGGCGCAUUAGCUAGUUGGUGAGGUAACGGCUCACCAAGGCAACGAUGCGUAGCCGACCUGAGAGGGUGAUCGGCCACACUGGGACUGAGACACGGCCCAGACUCCUACGGGAGGCAGCAGUAGGGAAUCUUCCGCAAUGGACGAAAGUCUGACGGAGCAACGCCGCGUGAGUGAUGAAGGUUUUCGGAUCGUAAAGCUCUGUUGUUAGGGAAGAACAAGUACCGUUCGAAUAGGGCGGUACCUUGACGGUACCUAACCAGAAAGCCACGGCUAACUACGUGCCAGCAGCCGCGGUAAUACGUAGGUGGCAAGCGUUGUCCGGAAUUAUUGGGCGUAAAGGGCUCGCAGGCGGUUUCUUAAGUCUGAUGUGAAAGCCCCCGGCUCAACCGGCGAGGGUCAUUGGAAACUGGGGAACUUGAGUGCACAAGAGGAGAGUGGAAUUCCACGUGUAGCGGUGAAAUGCGUAGAGAUGUGGAGGAACACCAGUGGCGAAGGCGACUCUCUGGUCUGUAACUGACGCUGAGGAGCGAAAGCGUGGGGAGCGAACAGGAUUAGAUACCCUGGUAGUCCACGCCGUAAACGAUGAGUGCUAAGUGUUAGGGGGUUUCCGCCCCUUAGUGCUGCAGCUAACGCAUUAAGCACUCCGCCU
Molecule: ribosomal RNA, 847 nt
Filed under: Bacillus subtilis
Lineage: Bacteria; Bacillati; Bacillota; Bacilli; Caryophanales; Bacillaceae
Description: bacterial SSU rRNA
Rfam family: Bacterial small subunit ribosomal RNA
Source: RNAcentral